CAUGUGCCGUCUCCCCUCUAACCUCGGUCUCAGUCGCAAGACACUUUCAGGGGCUUUUGAAACGAGAGAACAGAGCAUGCACACUCCUCUCGCCCACGCUGUUGCGGUGCUUGUGGUUUUACUUUGUUCCGGCUCUUACAAACCUCUUUUCCGUGCGCUAAACGUCGCGUUUCCAUCGUCAAGGUGAAUACCUUCGUCAACGUUAACGUUGUUUGUCUCCCAUUUUCAAGCGUAGCUCAAACAGCUCUAUAGGGGAACUGAUGCUAUCAUCUCUGUCAGCGCGUCCAUUCUCUGCUAUAGAGCAUGAUUUCAAGCGCCACCCUACCCUCCCCGUGACCCUGUUACGUGUCCCAUCGCGUGGUGCGACGCAGCACUGCCCACACGCAUUACCGCAAUGCCCCAAGACAGUGAUCCGCGCGCGGCCUCUCUCUCAUGCUGUGCACCCACUCAUCCCCCGCUCCGCAGGUCGCCUCACGGCCGCUCCAACUUUGCCGGUCGCCACCCGGUGCAUCCCCGCACCAGCAAGGCAGUGUGAGGGCCGGGCGAGAGAUGCGCUCCAGCCACGCUGACACGCUGCCUAAUCAUAUGGAUGGCGCAGACGUGUGCGCAGUCGCAGGCUGCCCCAGCACAACGCCGUCCAGGGCCUCACCGCCGACAUCGGUAGCGACAAAAUCGCACUGGCUUCCCCUCCCUCACGUCGUGGGCGCGUGGCCCUGUCACCAGCAGAAGCGGUCCGGGACUGGCAGGGAUAGGGUGGGCUGCUCGGCUAUCCCACGCAAGGCUGGUGCACCGGACCUUGUGAUGCCACGCUGAAGUGUCCCCCGCCAUCAGGAGGGACUGGGGUUUGAACAGACACAGAAAUAGAUGUGAGAGAGCGACAACACAUCGGAGCCUCCGAUAUAUAUAUAUAUAUAUAUAUAUGCGUGUGUGUGUGUGCAUGUGUGCGAGCACAGCGCACCGUGCACCGCUGCACGCGUCAAUACAGUAGAGCCCCUCUCCCCCCCCAUACACACCCAGUUAUUAUGUGUGUGCUCCUGUGCGCUCCGUGGUGAACCGAGCAUCAUGCCGUAGCAGAAACACAUACACACACAAGCACAAAAGAGAAUACAGGAAGGCGAGAAACCCAAGAAAGCGGCAGCACCGCCUUGUCGUUAUAUUUUCUUUUCCUGUUCAUCAGCUGAAAUAGGGGAGAGGGGGGAGAUAUCUAUUUUUAUGUUCUCUCGUUAGCCAUUUUCCACGUCUGCUUUCUGCUAUUCUUUCUUUUGGAUCCCUCGUCUCUUGUCUCUUCUCGCCGCAUUCUUCUGCUUGACUUGCUCAG
This 1318-nucleotide unclassified non-coding RNA is filed under the name Leishmania donovani. RNAcentral describes it as "gene:unknown". The record is from RNAcentral. Lineage: Eukaryota; Euglenozoa; Kinetoplastea; Trypanosomatida; Trypanosomatidae.